UCCGGUGCCGAUGAUGAACAUCGUCAACGGCGGCGUGCACGCGGACAAUCCGAUCGACUUCCAGGAAAUCAUGGUGAUGCCGGUCGGCGCAAAGAACUUCGCGGAAGGACUGCGGACUGCGUUGCGGCGCCGAGAUUUUCCACACGCUGAAAUCUGAACUGAAGAAGGCCGGUCACAACACCAACGUCGGCGACGAGGGCGGCUUCGCGCCGAACCUGCCAUC
Molecule: unclassified non-coding RNA, 223 nt
Filed under: Hevea brasiliensis (rubber tree)
Lineage: Eukaryota; Viridiplantae; Streptophyta; Magnoliopsida; Malpighiales; Euphorbiaceae
Source: RNAcentral